GGAAAUGCAAUGAAGGAGAAAAGUAAAAAAGUAAUGUAUCACAGAGAACAAAGCAUUGGUGAGAGCUUUGUAUGCUAGCUUUUUGAACCCGCUCUGGAGUAUAACGGCUUGACCACGUUAAGGUCUUUCUAAGUGAGUCUGAUGACUAAUUAGGGUGGUACCGCGGGUAAACUCUCGUCCCUUAU
Regulatory RNA element from Geosporobacter ferrireducens, 185 nucleotides. It matches the Rfam family "T-box leader". From Rfam's summary of the family: Uncharged tRNA acts as the effector for transcription antitermination of genes in the T-box leader family. T-boxes are found upstream of many aminoacyl-tRNA synthetase genes and some amino acid biosynthetic genes usually in Gram-positive bacteria. Lineage: Bacteria; Bacillati; Bacillota; Clostridia; Peptostreptococcales; Thermotaleaceae. The record is from Rfam.